Long non-coding RNA from Mya arenaria, 321 nucleotides. RefSeq lists it as uncharacterized. NCBI's taxonomy places the organism in Eukaryota, Metazoa, Mollusca, Bivalvia, Myida, Myidae. The record is from RefSeq and is a predicted model, not a curated record. The transcript is spliced from 3 exons.
GUAAUCCUUUGACAUGCCAGUGUGCCGCAGGUUUCACAUCAAACAUCGGCAAAACAAAAUGCCUUAAGAACAUCACCAACACAUGCGCUAAUGUAACGGACUGUAUUCCAAAUGCUGUAUGCUCCGGUUCCCCUUUGACAUGCCAGUGUGCCGCAGAUUUCACACCAAUCACCAACAAAACGAAAUGCCUUAAGAAAAUCACCGAGACAUGCACUGAUGUAGUGGACUGCAUUCCAAAUACUGUAUGUUCCGGUACUGCUUUGACAUGUCAGUGUGCCGCAGGUUUCACAUCAAACAUCGGCAAAACAAAAUGCCUUAAGA